GACGUAGGGGGCGAGCGUUGUCCGGAUUUACUGGGCGUAAAGCGCGUGCAGGCGGUUUGUUAAGUCCCGUGUGAAAUCCUCCGGCUCAACCGGAGAACGCCGCGGGAGACUGGCAGGCUUGAGGACGGUAGAGGGUGAUGGAAUUCCCGGUGUAGCGGUGAAAUGCGUAGAUAUCGGGAGGAACGCCAGUGGCGAAGGCGGUCACCUGGGCCGUCCCUGACGCUGAGACGCGAAAGCUGGGGGAGCAAACGGG
This 253-nucleotide ribosomal RNA is filed under the name uncultured bacterium. RNAcentral describes it as "partial 16S ribosomal RNA". It matches the Rfam family "Bacterial small subunit ribosomal RNA", at positions 524 to 776 of the family's 1533-position model. The record is from RNAcentral.